AUUGACAGUUUCUUUCUUUCAGGACUUGGGAUAUGUUUCACCAUUCUCUCCUAGCCUGUAGGGUUUCUCUUGAACUGGGGAAUCCUCCGAAGAUUUCAAAAAUACAGCAGGAAAAGAUGUGACAAGCCACUGGAAAAUCUAUCUGAUGACUAAGAAACACUGCUCUAACCUGACAAUAUAACACACAGUGAAUAGAAAGAAGCAAGCAAAAAGAAUGAAGAUCAAGUCUAAUAUCUGAUACGAUAGUCUGAGUGGAUUCUCUCCUACAUUAUGCCACAGACUUUUCCUCUAUAGUUAAAAAGAAGUGGUCCUUUGACUAGAAACUUAUUAUCCCUUAAAAGAAAUAUUCAGAAGGGCACACCUUUGAAAUUUUGAUAUAUUACAAAACUGGUUUAU
Molecule: long non-coding RNA, 396 nt
Organism: Lepus europaeus (European hare)
Lineage: Eukaryota; Metazoa; Chordata; Mammalia; Lagomorpha; Leporidae
Exons: 3
Source: RefSeq, a predicted model, not a curated record